UUAACAUAACUCUCUUUUUUUUUUACAUUGAGAAAAAAUGAAAAGGACUUUUAAGAGUCACCAUACAACUCUCCGGCCGACGAGCCUUAGAGAGAAAAAAAAAACACAAAACAUAAAGAGCACAAGACUCCAAAACAACUAACAAGAUUCACCACAGAAGAACAAAACACUUUGCUUCUCCUGCGAAAACACACCUAAAAACAACUUUCUGAACACCGGAGAAACUCACCGGAAAAAAAAGACAGGUAAAAAAAAGACACACUAUAAAGCCACAAAUUUUUAGUAAAAUAUAAAACGUUGAUUGAUUAUCUAUUACGAUCAUCCGAUUUUAUGAUUUCGAAUGGUGAUCGACCGCACCGCACCGUACCACCGUAAAUACUAAUAAAAACAUCAACAUAGCCUUUGUAAGGAGGGAAGUCAAGCAUUCUCAGACACGUUGUGAGUAUGCACGACACAAAGAAAGCUCUUAGCUUCCACUUAGAUGGAUGCGAUGUUAAAACACUCCAUAAACCCCACACCACUAGCUCUACUCCUCCUAUACCGUAUAUAACUUUCCUGUGCAGCCCUGUCAAGUUAUAGAGAGUGAGAACGUGAUAUGCAUUAGAGAGUCCUAAAGAAGAUCAUAUACCUUCAUCAAGGUUGUAGAAAUUGAGGUAGAUGAUAUGAGUUGCUACAAGUGCAAGAACAGGUGCAGUAACCAUGACUUUGGCAGAUUGAUCAUGUAUACUGAAAGACCGUAUUACAGCUAGAACUAGCGUAUACCCGGCUAGUACUGUAGCUGAAGAGUAAUCUAGCCUCUCUGUCAAGUCGACAUCUCUAUAUACAAAAAGUCCAAAAAAAAAAAAAAUGAGACUGACUUGACGAGUUUUAACAAUCUAGGUGCAAGCCCGGUCCAGAGCAUAGGUAAAAGAACUGGUUGCUUUUGAUCAAAAAAAAAAAGAACUGGUUGCUUAUCACAUCACAUUUUAUGAAUAGUUUUAGUUGUAUAUAGGGCAUUAUGAAAAAAAUUAUAUGUUAAUUAAAUGUACAAAAAGAAAUAAUUGAGCUUAUGACAUUUAUAAUUUUUUUUUUAAAUGUCACUGUUGUAUGGAUUGGAACAUGGAGAUAGAUGAAUGUUACCUGCUGUGACAGACACCACUCCAGAAGAGUGCAUUCAUUACAAUGAUGGCAUAGAUAUGCAGUAAUCCAUUGUAUUCAUAGUAAGUUUUUCGGUUUGGCUGGAGAGGCAAGUGAUAGUAAACGAGGAUGAAGUAAGAGACCCAUCCAUGGAACUGUAUUGCAAGGUCAAGAGCAGCGAAAGCAGCGGAGACAGGUUCCUGAAGGUGCAUAUGAGGAACAUUACUUCAAAACAAGUGCUGAGUUUGUUUCUCUUGAAGCUGAGAGUAUGCAAAGAGGAAGUUACCUGAAUGCCAUAGACAUGUUUGAGUGGCCAUUUACCGAAGUACUUGGUAGGUUUCUCACCGUCUCUUUUCCUCUCUUCUUCUCUAGUCAUCAUGCAUUCGUAUUGACAAUCACUUUGGCAAUCCCACUGCUUCCAUCGCAGGUAAAGUGGCUCUUGCAUGUACCAUGGACCGUCAUUGGCCUUUCCAUCAGCUGAAAAAAAUUUACAUUGAUGGAAGCAAGUAUCCCCCACGCAUCCAGUUUUUUGACAUUGAUCAACACAUGACCUGGAAACCAAUUAUCAUAUUAACACUGCUUUGUUAAUAAUAAACAUUAGUUGAAUCAAUGACAAGGUUAUGAGCAAAGAGAGUAAUCUUAGACAAUACCAUACUGCUAAGUUAUUUUCUAGGACACAUGCAAAUACGUUAUUACAACAAAGCCUCUCUCUUAGGCAACAUCAACUGGUCUAUCCAUCAAACCUUGGUAACAAGUUCUACUUUUAUUUUUAAUUUCUUUCAUUCUUCCCAUUAGAGAGAAAGAAAAGCU
Molecule: long non-coding RNA, 1926 nt
Filed under: Brassica napus (rape)
Lineage: Eukaryota; Viridiplantae; Streptophyta; Magnoliopsida; Brassicales; Brassicaceae
Description: long non-coding RNA (BNAP_LNC025317)
Source: RNAcentral